AAACGCUCAGGACCCGAAAAAAGCAGCCGGUUCUCUACUGAAAGCCGCCGAAUAUUAUGAACAGAAUCGAAAUUUAUUCCACGCUGCAAAGUAUGUGAAAAUUGGAAGAAAUUAGUGAAAUUUUGAGAAAUGCAAAAAAUUCAACAUUUUUUCGAAAUAAAAUUUUUUUUUCGAAAUUAAAAAAAAACUUUUCCAAAUUUUUUUUUUUCAAAUUUCAAUUUCAGAGCCCGCGAAGGAGCCGCAAUGUUGCUUCGUGACAUCAAAGAAUUUUCAGAAGCCGUCGUUUUAUUCGAAAAAGCAAUUAAUGGUUAUGCGGAGAGUGGAAGUCUCGAUACGGCGGCGAUGACUGUCGAAAAAGCUGCAGAUGUUCUGAAAAAUGAUAAUCCUAAGGAAGCACUUCAGG
This 403-nucleotide small RNA is filed under the name Caenorhabditis elegans. Its description in RNAcentral is "Unclassified non-coding RNA Y59A8B.42". The record is from RNAcentral. Lineage: Eukaryota; Metazoa; Nematoda; Chromadorea; Rhabditida; Rhabditidae.